RNAcentral lists this ribosomal RNA (312 nucleotides) under Triticum aestivum (bread wheat). RNAcentral describes it as "partial small subunit ribosomal RNA". The record is from RNAcentral. Lineage: Eukaryota; Viridiplantae; Streptophyta; Magnoliopsida; Poales; Poaceae.
AUGUGUUUUAUAUUUGCCACCACAACUGAGGGAAUUAAUUCAUGUAAAUCGGCCAGCCACAGCUCCAAGAAUACGCGGAGGAGGUGGCCCGGGUCAGCGUCGGCGCCGUUCGGCACGGGCCACGGGCCCGCUUCCAAGUGCGUCUGCGCGCCGGCCACCCACGCCGGGUCCUUCAAGUGCCGCUUCCACCGCACCAACUCCCAGGGCCAGGGAAGCCGCCCUUCUUCGCCCUCUUCACCGGCCGCGGCCAACGCGGUGCCGCGGCACCCGGCCUCGCCGUCCUCGUCCUCCGGCACCGUCGCAACCCAGUGA